This 253-nucleotide ribosomal RNA is filed under the name uncultured bacterium. RNAcentral's name for it is "partial 16S ribosomal RNA". It matches the Rfam family "Bacterial small subunit ribosomal RNA", at positions 524 to 776 of the family's 1533-position model. The record is from RNAcentral.
UACGUAGGGCGCAAGCGUUGUCCGGAAUUAUUGGGCGUAAAGAGCUCGUAGGCGGCUUUUUGCGUCUGCUGUGAAAACCUAAGGCUCAACCUUGGGCUUGCAGUGGGUACGGGCAGACUAGAGUGCGGUAGGGGUGACUGGAAUUCCUGGUGUAGCGGCGGAACGCGCAGAUAUCAGGAGGAACACCGAUGGCGAAGGCAGGUCACUGGGCCGCAACUGACGCUGAGGAGCGAAAGCAUGGGGAGCGAACAGG